This 202-nucleotide small RNA is filed under the name Arabidopsis thaliana (thale cress). RNAcentral's name for it is "ATSL018540". The record is from RNAcentral. Lineage: Eukaryota; Viridiplantae; Streptophyta; Magnoliopsida; Brassicales; Brassicaceae.
UGAACAAUUCUCAGUACUUUAAUUCUAAAACCACAUGAACAAAGGACAAGCCAAUAAAACAGAUAAAAACCGGAUUUGAAAAGAGAAAACAGAGCAAUUCAGAGAACUUUGAAGGUUGUAUAAUAAAUAUAUCAACAUGAAUUUUGAAUUCAGUGGCACAUUUUUCUCAUCAUCAUGCUCUGUUUUCCUUUCAAUACAAAAU